GCACAUCCUCACUUAGGUUAAGCUUCUCUUUGUUUAGCUGCUCCUUUCUGCUCACUUGUGAAACUGCAAAAGGAACAGGGAUGGACCUGUGAGAUGUUGGAAGAAGAGGAACAAAAAGAAGAAGAGAAAGAAGAUGAUGAAGCAUGGAGCAAAUGUCUGAGAAUCCCUAACAAGAAAGAGCUGCCAUUCUUCAGAUGCUCAGUGGGUUGGCUGAAGGAGAGAUGGAGUUGUGCCCAGAUCUAGCAGCCCCAGGUCCCUCAGCUCCUUAUCAGGCAGUGCUCCAGUCUCCU
This is a long non-coding RNA of Pogoniulus pusillus (Red-fronted tinkerbird), 290 nucleotides long. RefSeq lists it as uncharacterized. Lineage: Eukaryota; Metazoa; Chordata; Aves; Piciformes; Lybiidae. The transcript has 3 exons. The record is from RefSeq and is a predicted model, not a curated record.